Mauremys reevesii (Reeves's turtle) is the source of this 999-nucleotide long non-coding RNA. RefSeq lists it as uncharacterized. Lineage: Eukaryota; Metazoa; Chordata; Testudines; Geoemydidae. The record is from RefSeq and is a predicted model, not a curated record. The transcript has 4 exons.
UCUGUUUUUGUUCUUCAGCUCCUUUCUCUUCCAUUGAGGAUUGCUGCGCAUUCUGAGCCAGUCACUUAAAAUCUACCAAUCUGUGAAUUCCAAAUCAUCCUGCCUCAGGUCAAAGUGCAGAGCAGCUUGUUUUAUAUCUCUCCCUCCCCAGACAUAUGCUGCCAAUAGCUGCUUUGGGAAUUAGGUGAUCACAGGCUAUGGCUCUUUGGAGCACCUAUGACUUUGACUCCGGAGUAUUGUGCUACAAUUAUUCAGGGACUUGGCAACUUACAGCUCUCUAUCCACAGGGUUCCCACAGGAGUUCAGAGGAAGCACAGAGGCACCAAUGGACACAGACAUGAGGACCCCGGGUGCAGAGCUAUCUCCAGGGAAGCCUACAACCCCAAAAGGUUGAGAACUCUUGCUCUUGAGAAUCAGGUUCAUGAACACCAGUGAGGCGUAUGGGAAAGGAGCUUGAUGCCAGGGUGCUGAAGAGAUCUGGUGUUUUCCUGUCUGGAGAAGCAGGGAUCUUAUUCCCUCAAAAUGACAUGGUUAUCAUCAGGGUAUGAGUGCCAUUGCUAUUUUGGGGACUACUACAUCCCCUCUCCAGCCAUGGCUAAUGAAACCAUACCCCGAUCUCAGACGACCCGGCAGAAAAAGGUUUAAUUGCAUGCUUAGCAGUUGCAGAAUGGUGGGAGAGUGCACAUUUGGCAUGCUGAAGGGGGCAAGAUGCUGACAUAAUUGUUUGGAUGCCAAUGUGCCACCAUGUUAUUCUGGCAUGCUGUGAUCUACACAACAUCUGAGAGGCUACAAAGAAUAUUUCUGCAUGGAGUGCUCUCAAGACACCAACAAUUUGCAGGCCUGAUACAGAUAAUCAGAAAGUGCAUUUAUCACUGGCUCUGGGACUAGGAAACCAAGGGAAAUAAGGGACGUCUUGUGUGCCCACUUCCUGGCCAUGCAGGUUGGUGCGGAUGAGAUGUGAUGCUAUGAUGGCAGCCUGUGAUGAGGGAUUGUAAUGCA